AUGGCGAGUGGUGGUAGUGCGAUGCAGCGGUGCACCGUCGCUGCGAGGUGGUUGAUUAGAGGUGCGUCAACGGAGACGCCGUCUGGCUGUUCCGGCGUAGCAGCUCCGAUAGUGUGUGGUCGCGGUGACAAAAAGACAAAGAAAGGGAAGCGAUUCAAGGGCUCGUAUGGGAAAUCUCGUCCAAAGAGAGAACAGAUGAUUGAGCGAAUGAAAGAUAAGGUUGAAGUUCCCAGGUCUACUCCUUGGCCUCUUCCUUUCAAGCUCAUUUGA
Molecule: non-coding RNA, 270 nt
Organism: Vicia faba (fava bean)
Lineage: Eukaryota; Viridiplantae; Streptophyta; Magnoliopsida; Fabales; Fabaceae
Source: the annotation of a GenBank genome assembly